UUAGUGGUAAAAGCCCUAGC
RNAcentral lists this transfer RNA (20 nucleotides) under Corydalis tomentella. RNAcentral's name for it is "partial tRNA-Gly". Lineage: Eukaryota; Viridiplantae; Streptophyta; Magnoliopsida; Ranunculales; Papaveraceae. The record is from RNAcentral.